UACGAGGGGGGCGAGCGUUGUUCGGAAUUAUUGGGCGUAAAGGGUGCGUAGGCGGUUUGGUAAGUCUGAUGUGAAAUCUAUGGGCUCAACUCAUAGUCUGCAUCGGAAACUGCCGGGCUUGAGUGUGGGAGAGGUGAGUGGAAUUCCUGGUGUAGCGGUGAAAUGCGUAGAUAUCAGGAGGAACACCGGUGGCGAAGGCGCACAUCUGGCCCGAUACUGACGCUGAGGCGCGGAAGCUAGGGGAGCAAACGGG
RNAcentral lists this ribosomal RNA (253 nucleotides) under uncultured bacterium. Its description in RNAcentral is "partial 16S ribosomal RNA". It matches the Rfam family "Bacterial small subunit ribosomal RNA", at positions 524 to 776 of the family's 1533-position model. The record is from RNAcentral.